Molecule: ribosomal RNA, 376 nt
Filed under: uncultured bacterium
Lineage: Bacteria
Description: bacterial SSU rRNA
Rfam family: Bacterial small subunit ribosomal RNA
Source: RNAcentral
GUAGUCCACGCUGUAAACGAUGGGCACUAGGUGUGGGAGGUGUCGACUCCUCCCGUGCCGGAGCUAACGCAUUAAGUGCCCCGCCUGGGGAGUACGGCCGCAAGGCUAAAACUCAAAGGAAUUGACGGGGACCCGCACAAGCAGCGGAGCAUGUGGUUUAAUUCGACGAAACGCGAAGAACCUUACCUGGGCUUGACAUGUGCCUGAUCGCCGUGGAAACACGGCUUCCCUCACGGGCAGGUUCACAGGUGGUGCAUGGCUGUCGUCAGCUCGUGUCGUGAGAUGUUGGGUUAAGUCCCGCAACGAGCGCAACCCCCGUCGCAUGUUGCCAGCAUUUAGUUGGGGACUCAUGCGAGACUGCCGGUGACAAACCGGA